Molecule: long non-coding RNA, 1715 nt
Filed under: Portunus trituberculatus (swimming crab)
Lineage: Eukaryota; Metazoa; Arthropoda; Malacostraca; Decapoda; Portunidae
Description: uncharacterized LOC123516828
Source: RNAcentral
UUGCCACGAUUGCGACCUCGGCCUUCUGGAAUUCUAUCAUAAAUAUACAGGCAAUGCUAGACUUUUUUUCGAUGUCUGUGUACGCCACAAACUCAUCCUAGAUGAAAAGAAGUGCGAGGUGUGUGACAAGCCUGCAACAUUGGAUUUCUCACUAAAGUUAUGGCGUUGUCAGAAAAUGCGCUCGGCCAAAAAAGAAAAGAGUUAAGUGCACGUGGAGCCAAGGAGUGUUUAAGAACACAUUCUUUGAAAAUGCACAUUUAGAUCUGGAAACUGUUCUCAUAUUUGUUAACUGUUAUAUACGAGAAUGCUUCUCCUAUGUGUUCACAGAGAGUGAACUUGGGCUUGCUAACACCACCAUUUGUGACUGGGCCAGUUUUUGCAGGGAAGUAUUAAUUGGGUGGUGCAUCAAGCGAGAAGGGAAGAUUGGUGGUGAUGGAAAAAUUGUGGAGAUUGAUGAAAGUAAGUUUGGGAAGAGGAAAUAUAAUGUUGGACGAAUCAUCGAUGGACAGUGGGUGUUCGGUGGUGUGUGUCGUGAAACCCGAAGCUGCUUCAUGGUACCGGUGGAGAAGCGAGACAGCCAAACUCUUCUUGCUAUUAUAAAGGACAAGAUUGAGCCGGGAACCAUAAUAAUUCCAGAUUGUUGGAAAGCGUAUGAUUGUCUGCAGGAUGAAGGCUUUAAACACCUUACAGUGAAUCAUUCAGUGAACUUUGUAGACCCCUGCAACAAGGCGACACACACCAACACCAUCGAGAGGGCGUGGCGUUAGGUAAAAAGUAAAGUGCCGCUGUAUGGAAGAAAGAAAAAACACUUUGUGGGCUACCUUGCGAGGUCCAUGUUCAUCAUGGCGCACAAGGAACCAAAUAAAAGAUUUCACGUUUUCCUACAAUAAAUUGCAGCACUUUACAAUCCAUAUACGCCUACCAGCCACACAUCCUAAUUUCCUCCAACCAAACUUACUGUACGCCAUAUCUCGCCUCCAUGAAGUUGGAUCCCACCUUAAAACUCGCAAACCGACGCCCGUUAUGAGCUUUCCUGGCCCACGCGGCGGCGGUGAGACAAGCCUCCCUCCAGAGCUGUGAAAUGGCGAAGAAAAGGCGUGAGUGAUUGGAAUCCCCGAGUCCACGACAGUAAGGCUUGGGCGGGAUUUGCCCUCAACCUUUAAAAAUGGUUCGUUUCCUUUCUUCUUCACUGUCUUUGUCUUUUGAAGGUCAUAUAAAUACUUAAGUGUGUAUCACAUGGAGGUGCCUGAAAAGUCGUAGGUUACCAGAAAAAUAAUUGACGGGAGUGAAAGGAUUAAGGUAGUAACGCAAUGGUGUGUAUUUAAGGGUAUCAGAUAUGGAUGGCUCUGAAGCAUGAUUCAGUACUUGUAUUCUUGCAUCUGAAGUUAACCUUUUCAUUGGUACAUUUAAAAAUUUACAACACUAGAUUCACUGAGCAGUCUUUUUAAGCUCGAAGAGAAAGAAAAAGGAUUAAAUCAACAAGUUUUCAAAUUAUCUUAGAAUUGAGGAAAUAUGUUUAAACGCCAGUAAAAGAAUUAAAUGGAGUGAUUACAAUUUCUACGUUACGCUUUAAAUAGGAAUAAGACAAAACAAAACAAAGCAAUGUUCGCCUUUUGUUUGCAUACUGCGUAGUGUUUCCCGGUGAAAUUACAUGUGCACCUCAAACAGACAACCAUGCACUAAAUCAAUAGAUGAAAGUCAAAACAAAAAAAUAA